Molecule: long non-coding RNA, 264 nt
Filed under: Vigna radiata
Lineage: Eukaryota; Viridiplantae; Streptophyta; Magnoliopsida; Fabales; Fabaceae
Description: long non-coding RNA (VRAD_LNC002855)
Source: RNAcentral
AACAAGUGAAGAAGAAAUAGUUACACGAGUACGAUUUGACAAAAUUAGGGUUAUGGGAAUAAUUUCAAAACAUUAAUCAAUGAUUUUCUUCAAAAAUCAUCAAAAAAAAUGUAAAAAAAAAUAAAUAAAAAAAUAAACUUAAUUGUAGUUUUCAUUAAAACCACCAUAAAUUUAUGGAGAUUUUUCAAAUGGCCAAAAAUUAACUUCUGAUAAAUUAAUUGCAGCUAGAUAGGCGUAUGCCCCCCCCUCCCCCCUCACCCUCAC